UGAGAUUCUUCUAAUCUACUGG
This 22-nucleotide microRNA is filed under the name Bactrocera dorsalis (oriental fruit fly). Its description in RNAcentral is "bdo-miR-958". Its record names the gene bdo-miR-958. The record is from miRBase by way of RNAcentral. Lineage: Eukaryota; Metazoa; Arthropoda; Insecta; Diptera; Tephritidae.